RNAcentral lists this ribosomal RNA (868 nucleotides) under Staphylococcus aureus. Its description in RNAcentral is "partial 23S ribosomal RNA". It matches the Rfam family "Bacterial large subunit ribosomal RNA", at positions 1661 to 2528 of the family's 2925-position model. The record is from RNAcentral. Lineage: Bacteria; Bacillati; Bacillota; Bacilli; Caryophanales; Staphylococcaceae.
AGGUAGUCAAGAUGAGAAUUCUAAGGUGAGCGAGCGAACUCUCGUUAAGGAACUCGGCAAAAUGACCCCGUAACUUCGGGAGAAGGGGUGCUCUUUAGGGUUAACGCCCAGAAGAGCCGCAGUGAAUAGGCCCAAGCGACUGUUUAUCAAAAACACAGGUCUCUGCUAAACCGUAAGGUGAUGUAUAGGGGCUGACGCCUGCCCGGUGCUGGAAGGUUAAGAGGAGUGGUUAGCUUCUGCGAAGCUACGAAUCGAAGCCCCAGUAAACGGCGGCCGUAACUAUAACGGUCCUAAGGUAGCGAAAUUCCUUGUCGGGUAAGUUCCGACCCGCACGAAAGGCGUAACGAUUUGGGCACUGUCUCAACGAGAGACUCGGUGAAAUCAUAGUACCUGUGAAGAUGCAGGUUACCCGCGACAGGACGGAAAGACCCCGUGGAGCUUUACUGUAGCCUGAUAUUGAAAUUCGGCACAGCUUGUACAGGAUAGGUAGGAGCCUUUGAAACGUGAGCGCUAGCUUACGUGGAGGCGCUGGUGGGAUACUACCCUAGCUGUGUUGGCUUUCUAACCCGCACCACUUAUCGUGGUGGGAGACAGUGUCAGGCGGGCAGUUUGACUGGGGCGGUCGCCUCCUAAAAGGUAACGGAGGCGCUCAAAGGUUCCCUCAGAAUGGUUGGAAAUCAUUCAUAGAGUGUAAAGGCAUAAGGGAGCUUGACUGCGAGACCUACAAGUCGAGCAGGGUCGAAAGACGGACUUAGUGAUCCGGUGGUUCCGCAUGGAAGGGCCAUCGCUCAACGGAUAAAAGCUACCCCGGGGAUAACAGGCUUAUCUCCCCCAAGAGUUCACAUCGACGGGGAGGUUUGGCACCUCG